AGGAUUAACGCUGGCGGCGUGCCUAACACAUGCAAGUCGAACGAGGUAGCAAUACCUAGUGGCAGACGGGUGAGUAACGCGUGGUCAACCUACCGUUGAGUGGGGGAUAACUAGCCGAAAGGUUAGCUAAUACCGCAUACGUGUCCGAGGGGCAUCCCUUGGCCAUAAAAGGAGCAAUCCGCUCGAUGACGGGACCGCGUCCCAUUAGCUAGAUGGUGGGGUAACGGCCUACCAUGGCACCGAUGGGUAGCUGGUUUGAGAGAGCGACCAGCCACACUGGGACUGAGAAACGGCCCAGACUCCUACGGGAGGCAGCAGUGAGGAAUUUUCCGCAAUGGGCGCAAGCCUGACGGAGCGACGCCGCGUGUGGGAAGAAGGCCUUCGGUCGUAACCACUGUCGAAGGGGAAGAUAAUGACGGUACCUUGGAGGAAGCCCGGCUAACUACGUGCCAGCAGCCGC
This 460-nucleotide ribosomal RNA is filed under the name uncultured bacterium. RNAcentral's name for it is "SSU rRNA". It matches the Rfam family "Bacterial small subunit ribosomal RNA", at positions 26 to 518 of the family's 1533-position model. The record is from RNAcentral.